This 95-nucleotide microRNA precursor is filed under the name Dipodomys ordii (Ord's kangaroo rat). RNAcentral describes it as "miRNA (ENSDORG00000024010.1)". Lineage: Eukaryota; Metazoa; Chordata; Mammalia; Rodentia; Heteromyidae. The record is from RNAcentral.
UAUACUGGACUUGGAGUCAGAAGACGGGUUUGAAUACAGGUUGUGCUUCUUAUUAGCUGGGUAUCUUAAAGCAAACCUGUAGUGUGUUGAUUGGA